Molecule: ribosomal RNA, 220 nt
Filed under: uncultured bacterium
Lineage: Bacteria
Also listed under: 1 other name
Description: partial 16S ribosomal RNA
Rfam family: Bacterial small subunit ribosomal RNA
Source: RNAcentral
CUACGGGAGGCAGCAGUAGGGAAUCUUCCACAAUGGACGCAAGUCUGAUGGAGCAACGCCGCGUGAGUGAAGAAGGUCUUCGGAUCGUAAAACUCUGUUGUUAGAGAAGAACACGAGUGAGAGUAACUGUUCAUUCGAUGACGGUAUCUAACCAGCAAGUCACGGCUAACUACGUGCCAGCAGCCGCGGUAAUACGGAGGGUGCCAGCAGCCGCGGUAAU